RNAcentral lists this transfer RNA (66 nucleotides) under Eurynassa australis. RNAcentral describes it as "tRNA-Pro". Lineage: Eukaryota; Metazoa; Arthropoda; Insecta; Coleoptera; Cerambycidae. The record is from RNAcentral.
CAGGGAGUAGUUUAAAAAAAAUUUUAAUUUUGGAGAUUAAUGAUGGAAGGAUACUUCUUUCCCUGA